GGGAAAUUCAUUCUUGAGAGGUUUAAGGUUGCGGGUCCAGAUGGAAGCCUCUAUACAGUAAGCCAUGAUGAUGAGCUUGGAAGCGAUGAUGAACCUUAACUAGCCAUCCUACCAUAUCAUUACUCAUCCCUUUAGUCAAAUCUCGCUUUUCAACUGUACAUACUCUAAUUUCCUCCCCUGUUGGCAUAAGCAACCUCGAUUUUCAUAUUCUAACCUGUAAUAGCCAAGUUUUACAGGAUACUCUUAGAACGGUCAUCCUUUUCGUCCUAGACAAUUCGAAUUGGAAAAUUAGCUCUUAUACUUGUUUUGACAGAAGUGAAGUAUUCA
RNAcentral lists this unclassified non-coding RNA (327 nucleotides) under Hevea brasiliensis (rubber tree). The record is from RNAcentral. Lineage: Eukaryota; Viridiplantae; Streptophyta; Magnoliopsida; Malpighiales; Euphorbiaceae.